AUUGAACGCUGGCGGCAGGCCUAACACAUGCAAGUCGAACGGUAACAGGAAACAGCUUGCUGUUUCGCUGACGAGUGGCGGACGGGUGAGUAAUGUCUGGGAAACUGCCUGAUGGAGGGGGAUAACUACUGGAAACGGUAGCUAAUACCGCAUAACGUCGCAAGACCAAAGAGGGGGCCCUUCGGGCCCCUUGCCAUCGGAUGUGCCCAGAUGGGAUUAGCUAGUAGGUGGGGUAACGGCUCACCUAGGCGACGAUCCCUAGCUGGUCUGAGAGGAUGACCAGCCACACUGGAACUGAGACACGCUCCAGACUCCUACGCGAGGCAGCAGUGGGGAAUAUUGCACAAUGGGCGCAAGCCUGAUGCAGCCAUGCCGCGUGUAUGAAGAAGGCCUUCGGGUUGUAAAGUACUUUCAGCGGGGAGGAAGGGAGUAAAGUUAAUACCUUUACUCAUUGACGUUACCCUCAGAAGAAGCACCGGCUAACUCCGUG
This 490-nucleotide ribosomal RNA is filed under the name uncultured bacterium. Its description in RNAcentral is "partial 16S ribosomal RNA". It matches the Rfam family "Bacterial small subunit ribosomal RNA", at positions 30 to 507 of the family's 1533-position model. The record is from RNAcentral.